UACGGAGGGUGCAAGCGUUAUCCGGAUUCACUGGGUUUAAAGGGUGCGUAGGCGGCGCGACAAGUUGGGUGUGAAAUCCCUCGGCUCAACCGAGGAACUGCGCCCAAAACUGUCGUGCUCGAGGGAGACAGAGGUGAGCGGAACUUAGGGUGGAGCGGUGAAAUGCGUUGAUAUCCUAAGGAACACCGGUGGCGAAAGCGGCUCACUGGGUCUCUGCUGACGCUGAGGCACGAAAGCUAGGGUAGCGAACGGG
Molecule: ribosomal RNA, 253 nt
Filed under: uncultured bacterium
Lineage: Bacteria
Description: partial 16S ribosomal RNA
Rfam family: Bacterial small subunit ribosomal RNA
Source: RNAcentral